CUGCAGCUUAUUAAGCCACCCAGUCUCCCUGCUGUGCGGUUCUGGUGUGCAAUGGCUGCAGACAGUGACUCUGUGGUUGUGUAUGUGGCCAGCUGGGAGGUGCUGGCUGCUUUUAAGGGACCUGUGAGACAAAA
RNAcentral lists this small nucleolar RNA (134 nucleotides) under Hucho hucho (huchen). RNAcentral's name for it is "Small nucleolar RNA SNORA70 (ENSHHUG00000025064.1)". It matches the Rfam family "Small nucleolar RNA SNORA70". Rfam says of the family: snoRNA U70 seems to be exclusive to mammals and is a member of the H/ACA class of snoRNA which contain H (ANANNA) and ACA box motifs. H/ACA box snoRNAs are involved in the conversion of uridines to pseudouridines (5-ribosyluracil) a constituent of structural RNAs (transfer, ribosomal, small nuclear, and small nucleolar). The record is from Rfam by way of RNAcentral. Lineage: Eukaryota; Metazoa; Chordata; Actinopteri; Salmoniformes; Salmonidae.